CCGUCGACUGUUUGCUGCAAAAAAGAGCCUUUGACAAGCGUCCCCACCCACUGUCAGGUGGCAAAACAAGCGCCUAGUCCGUCCAGGCUCCUGGGAUCAGCCAGCUUAUCUCCUUGUCCCAGGCUGCCCCCAGGUCUCGAGAAGGGAACUGCUCCAAGGGGCAAGGAACACACAACCCAGCCCGACUGUAACCUCAUCCCCGCCCCGAGUUCCCCGGGCAGGGUCACCUGGCUGUUGAGGGCAGGCGCACAGACAGAUUCGGACACCGAAACCACAAAGGCGGCUGAGACUCGGGCUGCCCUGGAGGAACUACCGGCCGGGUAGGUGAACCGGCGUUCAGCAGACCCCAGUGGGCAAAGGACUGUGACGGCAACAAACCUGGGAGCGUGGAGGUGCGAGCGGCUCUGGCUGGGGACUCUCGGUAAAGAAACUGGCAUCUGUGAAGGAGCCUUCCACUGGGCUGCCCCCGCAGCACUGGCCACCUCCAGCAGUGAAAGCAGGAUGAGGCUGACCAGGACACCUUAACUGAGGAACCAGGAGAGCUCAGUGGAUUGAGUGAAAGGCCCAGGAGAGCCUCAGUUUUGUCACCUGAAGGAGGUUUUGUCAUGAGGAACAUGAGAUGCUAUUACGUGACAGUGCCAAGCAAGUCGAAGAUGCUUCAGGAUGAAUGGGAAGGGGAAAUUUGGACACGGACACAUGCAUAGAGUGAUGAUGAUGUAAAGAGACAUUGGGAGAAGAUGGUCAUCUACAAGCCAAGGAGAGAGGCCUGGAACAGAUCCCUUCCUGCACAGCCUCCAGCAGGAACCAACCACGGUGACAUCUUGGACUUCUAGACCUCAGAACUCGUUGAUGAGCGACUGAAGACACGACAUAUGUGAAAAUGCUUUGGAAGCUGCAAAGUGUUUUGUGCACUGAGGCACCGUUACCGUCCGCUUUCUUAGGAUGGCUGUCUGUGCAGUCCUGGUUGUUAGCUGCCAUCUGCCCUCUUGCCUUCCUCCUUGCUC
Long non-coding RNA from Eubalaena glacialis (North Atlantic right whale), 1004 nucleotides. RefSeq lists it as uncharacterized. The transcript is spliced from 6 exons. Lineage: Eukaryota; Metazoa; Chordata; Mammalia; Artiodactyla; Balaenidae. The record is from RefSeq and is a predicted model, not a curated record.